Molecule: long non-coding RNA, 658 nt
Filed under: Mytilus galloprovincialis (Mediterranean mussel)
Lineage: Eukaryota; Metazoa; Mollusca; Bivalvia; Mytilida; Mytilidae
Source: RNAcentral
CUCAUUAGGGCCCCGCCAAAGGCGGGUCGCCCUAUAGUGAUCAGUCUGUCCGUCCGUAACACUUUGUGUCCGCUCCAUAUCUAGAGAACCAUUAUGAUUUCAUACUUUAUACUUUACAUGUUUAUUAACCAGCACCAGAGGGCGUGUCAUGAUGUAUGUACAACUUCCUAGGUCAAAGGUCAAGGUCAAAAAACUUUGGUUUCAGUUGACAACCCUGUGUCCUGUGGUGAAGAUCGUGUCCGCUCUAUAUCUUGAGAACCGUUAUGAUUAUUUCAAAGUUUAUACUUGACAUGUAUAUGAACCAACACCAGAGGGUGUGUCAUAAUUUAUGAACAACUGCCUAGGGCAAAGUUCAAGGUCAGAAACUUUGGUUUCAGUUGACAACCCAUGUCCUAUGGUAAAGAUUGUGUCCGCUCUAUAUCUUGAGAACCAAGUUUAUACCUGAAAUGUAUAUAAACCAAUAUCAGAGGGUAUGUCAUAAUUUAUGUACAACUUCCUAGGUCAAAGGUCAAGGUCAAAAACUUUGGUUUCAGUUGACAACCCCAUGUCCUAUGGUAAAGAUCGUGUCCGCUCUAUAUCUUGAGAACCGUUAUCAUUUCAAAGUUUAUACUUGACAUGUAUAUAAACCAACACCAAAGGGUGUGUCAUAAUUUAUGUG